GAGGAGAUGGCUCAGUGUCGAAGAGCACUGGCUCCUUUCCUGAACGACCUGGGUUCAAUUCCCAGCCUCCUCA
Molecule: transfer RNA, 73 nt
Filed under: Mesocricetus auratus (golden hamster)
Lineage: Eukaryota; Metazoa; Chordata; Mammalia; Rodentia; Cricetidae
Rfam family: tRNA
About the family: Transfer RNA (tRNA) molecules are approximately 80 nucleotides in length. Their secondary structure includes four short double-helical elements and three loops (D, anti-codon, and T loops).
Source: Rfam by way of RNAcentral